This 661-nucleotide long non-coding RNA is filed under the name Salmo salar (Atlantic salmon). RNAcentral describes it as "lncRNA (ENSSSAG00000121742.1)". The record is from RNAcentral. Lineage: Eukaryota; Metazoa; Chordata; Actinopteri; Salmoniformes; Salmonidae.
GUUUAGGACAGGCCUGGGCAGCACACGCAAAGGUAUGAAGAAUGAUAUAGGAGGCAUCACACUCAUCCACGUGCAACACAAGAGAACCUGGGAGCCCAAUUACAGCCCAAGUCCUCCUGACAGCCUCCCCCAGCCGGCCUAGUCCACCCAACCAGGCCCAGCCAGACCCCCAAGAAAGCCGGCCCGACACACAGGCUCCUUGGUCCUGUUCUUCAGGAAGGAUUCAUAGCAUGAUGGACAUGAGCUGCAGCUCUUCGUCUCUCUGGUCUAAAGGUUGAUUAUUCAGGGUUCAGCUCCCGACCACCUUACACGCCAGCAGCAACCGGUAAUGUUCUGGUCUGGACCUGAGCCCUAGGACCAUGCCUCAGGACUACCUGCCCUGAUGACUCCUUGCUGUCCCCAGUCCACCUGGCCGUGCUGCUGCUCCAGUUUCAACUGUUCUGCCUGCGGCUAUGGAAUCCUGACCUGUUCAACGGACGUGCUACCUGUCCCAGACCUGCUGUUUUCAACUCUCUAGAGACAGCAGGAGCGGUAGAGAUACUCUGAAUGAUCGGCUAUGAAAAGCCAACUGACAUUUACUCCUGAGGUGCUGACCUGUUGCACCCUCGACAACCGCUGUGCUUAUUAUUGAUAAUAAUCUUUAUAAAUAAAUUUGAUUGAG